This 499-nucleotide ribosomal RNA is filed under the name uncultured bacterium. RNAcentral's name for it is "partial 16S ribosomal RNA". It matches the Rfam family "Bacterial small subunit ribosomal RNA", at positions 28 to 507 of the family's 1533-position model. The record is from RNAcentral.
GACGAACGCUGGCGGCGUGCUUAACACAUGCAAGUCGAACGGGCCCGCUCUCUUUUUUGGGGGUGGGUUGAGUGGCGAACGGGUGAGUAUCACCUGAGUAACCUGCCCCCUGCUCCUGGAUAACUGCUUGAAAGGGCGGCUAAUACGGGGUGUGCCGGCUGGUCCGCAUGGGCCUGGUCGGGAUAGUUUCAUCUUCGGGUGUUUCGGUGGGGGAUGGGCUCGCGGCCUAUCAGCUUGUUGGUGGGGUGAUGGCCCACCAAGGCGGUGACGGGUAGCCGGCCUGAGAGGGUGGGCGGCCACACUGGGACUGAGACACGGCCCAGACUCCUGCGGGAGGCAGCAGUGGGGGGUAUUGCACAAUGGGCGGAAGCCUGAUGCAGCGACGUCGCGUGAGGGAUGGAGGCCUUCGGGUUGUGAACCUCUUUCUCCGGUGGUGAAGGCCCUGUCCGUUGCGGCGGGGUUGACGGUAGCCGGGUAUGAAGCGCCGGCUAACUACGUG